GUACUAAUGAAGAGUCCCAAACUAGGACGAAACGGCUGUCCAAUAC
RNAcentral lists this non-coding RNA (46 nucleotides) under Trichobilharzia regenti. The record is from RNAcentral. Lineage: Eukaryota; Metazoa; Platyhelminthes; Trematoda; Strigeidida; Schistosomatidae.